UUCCAUGUAGGGACAGGGACGUCCCUCCUCCUCUGCUCCUGCUCACAAUGACCCUGAUCUGGUAAAGCUCCCAUCCUGCCCUGACUCUGCCAUGGGCACCAGGCUCCUCUGCUGGGCAACCCUGUGCCUCCUGGGGGCAGAUCACACAGGUGCUGGAGUUUCCCAGUCCCCCAGGAACAAGGUCACAGAGGAGGGAAAGGAUGUAGUGCUCAGGUGUGAUCCAAUUUCAGGUCAUACCGCCCUUUAUUGGUACCGACAGAGCCUGGGGAAGGGCCUGGAGUUUUUAAUUUACUUCCAAGGCAACGAUGCACCAGACAAAUCAGGGCUGCCCAGUGGUCGGUUCUCUGCAGAGAGGACUGAGGGAUCCGUCUCCACUCUGAAGAUCCAGCGAACAGAGCAGGGGGACUCGGCCGUGUAUCUCUGUGCCAGCAGCUUAGCCACAGCGUGGCACAGUCACCUCCUUCCUGUUCACAAACCUCAUCCUUCUCUCUCCUUGCAGCAUCUGGAGACCCUUAACAGAGGCCUCUCUUUGCUCCCCGCUCCCCGCUCCCCGUGGGAAACAAGUAGAUUUGGACCUCAGCUGUCCUUUGGGUAGAAAGAGACCACAGAUUCACCCCUAAGACACAGUGACUGUAAAUGUGGGUGGUGGAAGCAAUCGUGGUCCUCUGGACUCUAGGAGUCUUCAGAGCCAGCUCACCGCUCUAAGGCAAGCACUGGGUGUCUUAGCCUCGGCCUUCAGGGCUGGGACAUGCAGUUUUCUUUGGGGCCUGGGAGGUUGCUGCCCACAUACAGAAGCUUUGGGCAUGGGCAAGGAACAGGCCUGUUCCCCUGCAUGCAUUCUGGCAUCUGGCAUCUGCAAGGUCUGAAGCUUCAUCCACAGGAACAUUUUUUCUUCUGAAGCCUCUUCUAUCCCUGUCACAUUGGAAGUUUUCUGCAGUACCAGAGCAAAACAAUCUUCGUGUUUGACUUAAACAUCCUUGUGACUUU
Molecule: non-coding RNA, 987 nt
Organism: Mandrillus leucophaeus (drill)
Lineage: Eukaryota; Metazoa; Chordata; Mammalia; Primates; Cercopithecidae
Source: the annotation of a RefSeq genome assembly